Molecule: long non-coding RNA, 241 nt
Filed under: Ananas comosus (pineapple)
Lineage: Eukaryota; Viridiplantae; Streptophyta; Magnoliopsida; Poales; Bromeliaceae
Description: long non-coding RNA (ACOM_LNC018504)
Source: RNAcentral
UGCACAAGUUUAUAAAUUAGUAAAAACAGGCUCAAACUUCAUUUCAAACUGGUCAAGAAGAUUUGUUUUGAAUUAUGCCUGUUACAAGGGAAAAACAGUAAAAAGUUUAUAUAUUAUAAUUAAAACUUGGCUGAUAGAUUAACGUCUCUUAGAUGAACAUCUGAGUCAAAAAGUACCUCAUUGUUAAACAUGGAUCAGAAUCACGUAUUCUCCUCUCGCGGUAUAUGAUUAGAUAAGCUUA